AAACAAUUUGAUAUCUGACAAUAAAUUUACUGAAAACAAACGGCAUUUUACAGCACCUGUUUAAAUUUUAGGUUAUCUAAAAUGCAUUUGACUGAACUUAAACGAAACCAGUUGAGACUAAUUCUCACCCUUCUCAUGUUUCAAAAACUCUGUUGCACAUUAAGUCCUAUCCACUAUCCUGCUUUGGAGAGCAUUAGUGCCAAAUCACCACUAUUCAAGAUGUAUAUUCAAAUAGCAAAUAUGAGAAACAGAAAGACUAAUGUAAGUCAAAGUAUGAUUAUAACACAUAAGAUAUAUGUUUUAUUUGGAACGAAUAAACAAGCAAACAAAAAGAACGAAGGACUCGCAGAUUGGAGACAAAUUUAACAAAGAGUUUGUGUGAGUCCCCUACAGCUACUGAUUAGAGGUUAUAAAUUAUUAUAUAGAAACAAAAUAUAAUUAUUGAUUUAAAC
RNAcentral lists this long non-coding RNA (452 nucleotides) under Androctonus crassicauda. Lineage: Eukaryota; Metazoa; Arthropoda; Arachnida; Scorpiones; Buthidae. The record is from RNAcentral.